GACGAACGCUGGCGGCGUGCUUAACACAUGCAUGUCGAACGGUAAGGCCCUUCGGGGUACACGAGUGGCGAACGGGUGAGUAACACGUGGGUGAUCUGCCCUGCACUUCGGGAUAAGCCUGGGAAACUGGGUCUAAUACCGGAUAGGACUCCUGGCUUCAUGGUUGGGGGUGGAAAGCUUUUGCGGUGUGGGAUGGGCCCGCGGCCUAUCAGCUUGUUGGUGGGGUAAUGGCCUACCAAGGCGACGACGGGUAGCCGGCCUGAGAGGGUGACCGGUCACACUGGGACUGAGAUACGGCCCAGACUCCUACGGGAGGCAGCAGUGGGGAAUAUUGCACAAUGGGUGCAAGCCUGAUGCAGCGACGCCGCGUGAGGGAUGACGGCCUUCGGGUUGUAAACCUCUUUCAGCUAUGACGAAGCGCAAGUGACGGUAGUAGCAGAAGAAGGACCGGCCAACUACGUGCCAGCAGCCGCAGUAA
RNAcentral lists this ribosomal RNA (478 nucleotides) under uncultured bacterium. RNAcentral describes it as "partial 16S ribosomal RNA". It matches the Rfam family "Bacterial small subunit ribosomal RNA", at positions 28 to 523 of the family's 1533-position model. The record is from RNAcentral.